Molecule: ribosomal RNA, 253 nt
Filed under: uncultured bacterium
Lineage: Bacteria
Also listed under: 1 other name
Description: partial 16S ribosomal RNA
Rfam family: Bacterial small subunit ribosomal RNA
Source: RNAcentral
UACAUGUGGGGCAAGCGUUGUUCGGAAUUACUGGGCAUAAAGGGUGCGUAGGCGGCAUGCCAAGUCAGGGGUGAAAGGUUUCGGCCCAACCGGGACAGUGCCUUUGAUACUGGCGUGCUUGAGUGCGUGAGGGGUGACUGGAACGAGUGGUGUAGCGGUGAAAUGCGUAGAUAUCACUCGGAAGGCCAACGGCGAAGGCAGGUCACUGGUACGCAACUGACGCUGAGGCACGAAAGCGUGGGGAGCAAACAGG